This 221-nucleotide ribosomal RNA is filed under the name Campylobacter jejuni. Its description in RNAcentral is "partial 16S ribosomal RNA". It matches the Rfam family "Bacterial small subunit ribosomal RNA", at positions 1 to 214 of the family's 1533-position model. The record is from RNAcentral. Lineage: Bacteria; Pseudomonadati; Campylobacterota; Epsilonproteobacteria; Campylobacterales; Campylobacteraceae.
UUUUUAUGGAGAGUUUGAUCCUGGCUCAGAGUGAACGCUGGCGGCGUGCCUAAUACAUGCAAGUCGAACGAUGAAGCUUCUAGCUUGCUAGAAGUGGAUUAGUGGCGCACGGGUGAGUAAGGUAUAGUUAAUCUGCCCUACACAAGAGGACAACAGUUGGAAACGACUGCUAAUACUCUAUACUCCUACUUAACACAAGUUGAGUAGGGAAAGUUUUUCGG